UGAAGUGUCUCUUGCCCUCUCCCACCUCUAAAUCCAUCAUUUCAGGCACAGUUGACCACAGUUGACUUUUCUGACUGAUAGAUGAAUCUGGUUAUGCACUGAUCAAGUCGAGCCUCAAACUCCUGAUGAAAUGGCUCAAUGAUGCAACCCUAGCUUCCAUAAGCUCAAUAUAACCAUAUGAUGAUCCCCAUAUCCAUUGUAGAC
RNAcentral lists this long non-coding RNA (204 nucleotides) under Lathyrus oleraceus (garden pea). RNAcentral's name for it is "Pisum sativum (pea) long non-coding RNA (PSAT_LNC012452)". Lineage: Eukaryota; Viridiplantae; Streptophyta; Magnoliopsida; Fabales; Fabaceae. The record is from RNAcentral.